ACACUCCUGCGGGAGGCAGCAGUGGGGAAUAUUGGACAAUGGGCGCAAGCCUGAUCCAGCCAUGCCGCGUGAGUGAUGAAGGCCCUAGGGUUGUAAAGCUCUUUCACCGGAGAAGAUAAUGACGGUAUCCGGAGAAGAAGCCCCGGCUAACUUCGUGCCAGCAGCCGCGGUAAUACGAAGGGGGCUAGCGUUGUUCGGAAUUACUGGGCGUAAAGCGCACGUAGGCGGAUCGAUCAGUCAGGGGUGAAAUCCCAGGGCUCAACCCUGGAACUGCCUUUGAUACUGUCGAUCUGGAGUAUGGAAGAGGUGAGUGGAAUUCCGAGUGUAGAGGUGAAAUUCGUAGAUAUUCGGAGGAACACCAGUGGCGAAGGCGGCUCACUGGUCCAUUACUGACGCUGAGGUGCGAAAGCGUGGGGAGCAAACAGGAUUAGAUACCCUAGUAGUCCCAUG
RNAcentral lists this ribosomal RNA (450 nucleotides) under uncultured organism. Its description in RNAcentral is "partial 16S ribosomal RNA". It matches the Rfam family "Bacterial small subunit ribosomal RNA", at positions 333 to 799 of the family's 1533-position model. The record is from RNAcentral.